GUGGGGAAUAUUGGACAAUGGGCGAAAGCCUGAUCCAGCAAUGCCGCGUGAGUGAUGAAGGCCUUAGGGUUGUAAAGCUCUUUUACCCGGGAUGAUAAUGACAGUACCGGGAGAAUAAGCUCCGGCUAACUCCGUGCCAGCAGCCGCGGUAAUACGGAGGGAGCUAGCGUUGUUCGGAAUUACUGGGCGUAAAGCGCACGUAGGCGGCUUUGUAAGUUAGAGGUGAAAGCCUGGAGCUUAACUCCAGAACUGCCUUUAAGACUGCAUCGCUUGAGUCCAGGAGAGGUGAGUGGAAUUCCGAGUGUAGAGGUGAAAUUCGUAGAUAUUCGGAAGAACACCAGUGGCGAAGGCGGCUCACUGGACUGGUAUUGACGCUGAGGUGCGAAAGCGUGGGGAGCAAACAGGAUUAGAUACCCCGGUAGUCC
RNAcentral lists this ribosomal RNA (425 nucleotides) under uncultured bacterium. RNAcentral's name for it is "partial 16S ribosomal RNA". It matches the Rfam family "Bacterial small subunit ribosomal RNA", at positions 354 to 796 of the family's 1533-position model. The record is from RNAcentral.